CCCUUAGAUGUUCUGGGCCGCACGCGCGCUACACUGAUGCAUUCAACGAGUCUAAAACCUGCUCUGAUAGGGGUGGGUAAUCUUUUGAAUGUGCAUCGUGAUUGGGAUAGAUGAUUGCAAUUUUUCAUCUUCAACGAGGAAUGCCUAGUAAACGCAAGUCAUCAGCUUGCAUUGAUUACGUCCCUGCCCUUUGUACACACCGCCCGUCGCUCCUACCGAUUGAAUGGUCCGAUGAAUAUCAUGGAUUGAGGAUGCAAGUAGGUUAGCCUAUCUUCAUCUUCGAGAAGUGAAGUAAAUCUUAUCAUUUAGAGGAAGGAGAAGUCGUAACA
This 329-nucleotide ribosomal RNA is filed under the name uncultured eukaryote. RNAcentral's name for it is "partial 18S ribosomal RNA". It matches the Rfam family "Eukaryotic small subunit ribosomal RNA", at positions 1470 to 1796 of the family's 1831-position model. The record is from RNAcentral.